GUGCUCACUUCGGCAGCACAUAUGCUAAAAUCGGAAGGAUACAGAGAAGAAGAUCCACUGGCCACUGUGCAACGGUGACACAUAAAUUUGUGAAGCGCUCCAUAUUAAA
RNAcentral lists this small nuclear RNA (109 nucleotides) under Prolemur simus (greater bamboo lemur). Lineage: Eukaryota; Metazoa; Chordata; Mammalia; Primates; Lemuridae. The record is from RNAcentral.